This 377-nucleotide ribosomal RNA is filed under the name uncultured bacterium. RNAcentral's name for it is "bacterial SSU rRNA". It matches the Rfam family "Bacterial small subunit ribosomal RNA", at positions 523 to 898 of the family's 1533-position model. The record is from RNAcentral.
AUACGUAGGGGGCGAGCGUUGUCCGGAAUUACUGGGCGUAAAGGGUGCGCAGGCGGCCGAUUAAGUCAGAUGUGAAAUACCAGGGCUCAACCCUGGGGGUGCAUUUGAAACUGGUUGGCUUGAGUGCAGGAGAGGAAAGCGGAAUUCCUAGUGUAGCGGUGAAAUGCGUAGAGAUUAGGAGGAACACCAGUGGCGAAGGCGGCUUUCUGGACUGUAACUGACGCUGAGGCACGAAAGCGUGGGGAGCAAACAGGAUUAGAUACCCUGGUAGUCCACGCCGUAAACGAUGGAUACUAGGUGUAGGGGGUUAUGACACCUUCUGUGCCGGAGUUAACGCAAUAAGUAUCCCGCCUGGGGAGUACGGCCGCAAGGUUGAA